AUAUUGAGGCAAAGCUCAACUUAUCUUUCAUUAGCUGCAGGCUAACCAUGCAGACCAUGGCAAGGGAUCAUCUGAUGCUAUUACCUUGUUCAUGAGACCGAAAGCUUCCACUCAGGCACUUAAAAAUAACGGCAAGCUGACAACUGUCAAUAACCAUUAGUAACUACUUUUUCAGGGAUAAUGACAAGGUGAAGAAGUCAUACAUAACAGUAAUAAAGUCUUAAGUGAGAUUUGGAUAAAUCAUCAAAAAUGGAUCAAAACUUCCCGUUUGAAAGUAAGCUGUCGACGGAUAACUGAAUCUACGAAACUCAUUCUUUUCCCCAGACUUUAUCACCAAAGAUUGAGAUCGACUGCAUGAAGGCACUCAAAGAAUACAAUCAGUCCCCUUUCCUCAAGGACACCAUACAGCAACAGCCCGAACCACAAUGGUUACACUGUGCAAAAUUACAAAGCAAAAUCCAUUCAAAGCUGCAUACCUGAUAAAUGGAGCACAGCACAAACAGUUCACAGAUAAAGGAACACAGAUGAGGAGAGCCACCAAACAGGAGGGAACAACCCCCACCCCCACAUAUAACUGCAUCGAGUCACCCUCUGUGCACCUCUCCUGGCUCUGCACUUCAGAGAUCAGCAGGUUACAGCUCUGCUUUUCACCUUCAGCUGGCUUCCCUUGAGCCUAUUUUCAGCAAUGCUUAGAUGAUUUUGUUGCAGCCAUUUGUGCCUCAG
Molecule: long non-coding RNA, 723 nt
Organism: Columba livia (rock pigeon)
Lineage: Eukaryota; Metazoa; Chordata; Aves; Columbiformes; Columbidae
Exons: 3
Source: RefSeq, a predicted model, not a curated record